CACAGAAAAAGGAAGGGAACUGUGUUGGAAAGAGCUUUAGAGGGAAGGCUGCCGCGUCGAUAAGGAAUAUAAGGUUGAAGGCAACUUCCCAGGUAAUGUGGUAAACUAUUGGACAGGUGACUUCAGGAAGUAAAAUACUCCAUACCGCUGCAAGUGUUUGGCGAUCUGUUAAAAUAGCAGCUGUCCCACUCUCAAUCAUAAGGAAAAGGCAAUUCUUAUAGCCUCAGGGUAAGAAAAUAAAGAUGUAUGGCAGGAGAAGCCACAAGAAUCUGUGGGCAGAAAUGCCUCUCCACUGGCAAUGUCUGAUUUUCAGUAACCUUGGCAUACAUCAUAUGAAUGGGCUAGGAGAUAAACCCCAAUCCAGACACAGGUCACUGUUAUUGCAGCAAUCCAUCUAGCUUCACGCUGACUUUCGAUAUACAGGAAAUUUUCAAGCAAGCAAAAAUCUUGUGGGAGGUGGGGGUACAUCAGGGCAUGGAAUCUGACUUCCAUAUCAGUUUCGGGGAUUUUCCCUUCUCAAGCCUAAAUCAUCUAAAUGAGAACAUUCCUGAGGUAACAAGAACACGUCUCUCACCCCAAGCCGCCCACCAGAAGUCUUCAAACAAAACAUAACAAGUGAUUCAUGGUGAUAUGAACUCCCCUGACACAAGCACAGCCAAGACUAAUAUUAUGGUACAAUAUUAUGGUACAAUAUGUUAUGCUUGAUUAAACAAAAUGUUUUGGUACUCACAUUUGACAAGCUUUUUCGUAAAGUAAUUGUGUCAAACUACGCAUCUGAGUCAGGAAACUUUGAUUUGUUACAAGGCUGAGUUUUCCUCCUUUCACUUCCUUGUUUCUCUGGCAAGAAGCAGCUCACACCAUCGUUGUAACACCUGAGUGUACAUUACAUGUCCAGACUGUCUUGCUGAACCUGCAAGGGGGUGCAACAAGUAAGGAAGACCUCACUGGAGAGGUGCAAGGACGGUGCUGUGGCUCAGCAGAGAGCUUGAGGGUGACUGGACUGUUUUUGCAGUGUGCCUCAGAUAAUUGGAACAUGGGCAGAGAACACUGAAAUGACUGAGAGGCUCUGAACUGCAUUAGCCAGGUUCAGGUAACCUCACUAGCCUGGCUUCAGUGCCUGUUCAGUGGGCAGCAGGUUCGGAGUGAGCAGGAGGAAGCAGAAGUAGCAUGGGUAAGAAGUGAGCCCUGAGCCAGGAGUGAGAGUCCCUGUACUGCUGGAAGAGAUGGCUGAGCAUAGGGAAGCAGUAACAAAGAUCCAGGCCCAGACAGGGGCAGAACACCACUGGUCUUUUUCACACAAGCCUCACCUAGAGGAAGGUCAAUAACCACUGAAGCAGACCAGAUGAUCAGCUCCCCUCACUCACCCAACACAAUUAUCCAGCAGACAAAAGAUAGUAGGCAGCGACCAUGUGGAGGGACAGCAUAACCAGAUGCUGCAACUUUUAGAUUCAGAACUGCCCGACGAGAUGGAUUUUGUAGCAAGUCAGUAGGUGUGUCCUGAUAGGACGUUCCAUGUAUGACUGCCCGAAAUGAGCAUGAUCCUAUGAGCAUGAUCAUCAGCUGAGAAACCAGCUGGCGCAGGAAUUCUACCAUGAAAUAACUGCUGACGAGUUCAGCUUCCCUGGAGGGGUAUAAAGCCUGAUUAGCAUAAGUAAGGAUCAAGACUUUAAUUGGAUUGUGUCACCAAUGUUUUCAUA
Phalacrocorax carbo (great cormorant) is the source of this 1697-nucleotide non-coding RNA. The record is from RefSeq and is a predicted model, not a curated record. NCBI's taxonomy places the organism in Eukaryota, Metazoa, Chordata, Aves, Suliformes, Phalacrocoracidae.